UACGGGGGUGGCGAGCGUUGUCCGGAAUCACUAGGCGUAAAGGGCCAGUAGGCGGAUCAGUAAGUCGGAUGUCAAAGACGUCGGCUCAACCGGCGGAAGGCGUUCGAUACUAUUGAUCUAGAGUAAGGUAGAGGAAGACGGAAUUCCUGGUGUAGCGGUGGAAUGCGCAGAUAUCAGGAAGAACACCGGUGGCGAAGGCGGUCUUCUGGGCCAUUACUGACGCUAAAUGGCGAAGGUGCGGGUAUCAAACAGGAUUAGAUACCCUGGUAGUCCGCACAGUAAACGAUAUGCACUAGGUGUUGGGGGGGAAGAACCCUUCAGUGCCGUAGCUAACGCGUUAAGUGCAUCGCCUGGGGAGUACGAUCGCAAGGUUAAA
This 376-nucleotide ribosomal RNA is filed under the name uncultured bacterium. RNAcentral's name for it is "bacterial SSU rRNA". It matches the Rfam family "Bacterial small subunit ribosomal RNA", at positions 524 to 898 of the family's 1533-position model. The record is from RNAcentral.